GACGAACGCUGGCGGCGUGCUUAACACAUGCAAGUCGAACGGAAAGGCCCUGCUUUUGUGGGGUGCUCGAGUGGCGAACGGGUGAGUAACACGUGAGUAACCUGCCCUUGACUUUGGGAUAACUUCAGGAAACUGGGGCUAAUACCGGAUAGGAGCUCCUGCUGCAUGGUGGGGGUUGGAAAGUUUCGGCGGUUGGGGAUGGACUCGCGGCUUAUCAGCUUGUUGGUGGGGUAGUGGCUUACCAAGGCUUUGACGGGUAGCCGGCCUGAGAGGGUGACCGGCAACAUGGGGACUGGGAUAGGGCCCGGACUCCUACGGGAGGAAGCGGUGGGGAAUAUUGCAAAAGGGGCGGAGGCCGGAUGCAGCAACGCCGCGUGCGGGAUGACGGCCUUCGGGUUGUAAACCGCUUUCGCCUGUGACGAAGCGUGAGUGACGGUAAUGGGGAAAGAAGCACCGGCUAACUACGU
RNAcentral lists this ribosomal RNA (467 nucleotides) under uncultured bacterium. RNAcentral describes it as "partial 16S ribosomal RNA". It matches the Rfam family "Bacterial small subunit ribosomal RNA", at positions 28 to 506 of the family's 1533-position model. The record is from RNAcentral.